Molecule: ribosomal RNA, 764 nt
Filed under: Lactiplantibacillus plantarum
Lineage: Bacteria; Bacillati; Bacillota; Bacilli; Lactobacillales; Lactobacillaceae
Description: bacterial SSU rRNA
Rfam family: Bacterial small subunit ribosomal RNA
Source: RNAcentral
UGCAAGUCGAACGAACUCUGGUAUUGAUUGGUGCUUGCAUCAUGAUUUACAUUUGAGUGAGUGGCGAACUGGUGAGUAACACGUGGGAAACCUGCCCAGAAGCGGGGGAUAACACCUGGAAACAGAUGCUAAUACCGCAUAACAACUUGGACCGCAUGGUCCGAGCUUGAAAGAUGGCUUCGGCUAUCACUUUUGGAUGGUCCCGCGGCGUAUUAGCUAGAUGGUGGGGUAACGGCUCACCAUGGCAAUGAUACGUAGCCGACCUGAGAGGGUAAUCGGCCACAUUGGGACUGAGACACGGCCCAAACUCCUACGGGAGGCAGCAGUAGGGAAUCUUCCACAAUGGACGAAAGUCUGAUGGAGCAACGCCGCGUGAGUGAAGAAGGGUUUCGGCUCGUAAAACUCUGUUGUUAAAGAAGAACAUAUCUGAGAGUAACUGUUCAGGUAUUGACGGUAUUUAACCAGAAAGCCACGGCUAACUACGUGCCAGCAGCCGCGGUAAUACGUAGGUGGCAAGCGUUGUCCGGAUUUAUUGGGCGUAAAGCGAGCGCAGGCGGUUUUUUAAGUCUGAUGUGAAAGCCUUCGGCUCAACCGAAGAAGUGCAUCGGAAACUGGGAAACUUGAGUGCAGAAGAGGACAGUGGAACUCCAUGUGUAGCGGUGAAAUGCGUAGAUAUAUGGAAGAACACCAGUGGCGAAGGCGGCUGUCUGGUCUGUAACUGACGCUGAGGCUCGAAAGUAUGGGUAGCAAACAGGAUUAAUCCC